RNAcentral lists this non-coding RNA (45 nucleotides) under Echinostoma caproni. The record is from RNAcentral. Lineage: Eukaryota; Metazoa; Platyhelminthes; Trematoda; Plagiorchiida; Echinostomatidae.
GCACUGAUGACGAGUCCCACACAGGACGAGACGGUUGUCUAGUGC